UACAGAGGAUGCAAGCGUUAUCCGGAAUGAUUGGGCGUAAAGCGUCUGUAGGUGGCUUUUUAAGUCCGCCGUCAAAUCCCAGGGCUCAACUCUGGACAGGCGGUGGAAACUACCAAGCUGGAGUACGGUAGGGGCAGAGGGAAUUUACGGUGUAGCGGUGAAAUGCGUAGAUAUCGUAAGGAAGACCAGUGGCGAAGGCGGGUCUCUGGACAGUUCCUGACGCUGAGGCACGAAGGCCAGGGGAGCAAACGGG
This 253-nucleotide ribosomal RNA is filed under the name uncultured bacterium. Its description in RNAcentral is "partial 16S ribosomal RNA". It matches the Rfam family "Bacterial small subunit ribosomal RNA", at positions 524 to 776 of the family's 1533-position model. The record is from RNAcentral.